Molecule: non-coding RNA, 215 nt
Filed under: Rhodobacterales bacterium
Lineage: Bacteria; Pseudomonadati; Pseudomonadota; Alphaproteobacteria; Rhodobacterales
Source: RNAcentral
GUCACAAAGAAAGAGCAUGGUUCCCACCGAGCGCAAAGCGCCCAGGGAGAAUAGGGAAUGCGGAUCGGGUGACCCAUUUCGGGGCCCAAAGCCGCAGCCGCCCCCGCGACUGUAUGCGGAGAGCGCCAGCCAAAUGCCACUGGGGCAGCCCCCGGGAAGGCGGCAAGGCGCAUCGACCCGCGAGCCAGGAGACCUGCCGUGCACACAUCAACCCA